Molecule: ribosomal RNA, 245 nt
Filed under: uncultured bacterium
Lineage: Bacteria
Description: partial 16S ribosomal RNA
Rfam family: Bacterial small subunit ribosomal RNA
Source: RNAcentral
GACGAAGGUGGCAAGCGUUGUUCGGAAUCACUGGGCUUAAAGCGCACGUAGGCGGCCUAUCAAGCGUCCUGUGAAAGCCCCCGGCUCAACCGGGGAACUGCAGGGCGAACUGGCAGGCUUGAGGCAGGUAGAGGCGAGUGGAACUCUUGGUGGAGCGGUGGAAUGCGUAGAUAUCAAGAGGAACGCCGGUGGCGAAAGCGACUCGCUGGGCCUGACCUGACGCUCAGGUGCGAAAGCCAGGGGAG